UGGGGAAUAUUGGGGCAAUGGGGCGAAAGCCUGACCCAGCAACGCCGCGUGAAGGAAGAAGGUCUUCGGAUUGUAAACUUUGUCUUAUGGGACGAUAAUGACGGUACCAUAGGAGGAAGCCACGACUAACUACGUGCCAGCAGUCGCGGUAAUACGUAGGUGGCGAGCGUUAUCCGGAAUUAUUGGGUGUAAAGGGUGCGUAGGCGGGACGUAAAGUCAGAUGUGAAAUGCGGAGGCUCAACCUCCGAACUGCAUUUGAAACUUACGUUCUUGAGUGGAGUAGAGGCAAGC
RNAcentral lists this ribosomal RNA (291 nucleotides) under uncultured Pseudoflavonifractor sp. RNAcentral's name for it is "partial 16S ribosomal RNA". It matches the Rfam family "Bacterial small subunit ribosomal RNA", at positions 355 to 662 of the family's 1533-position model. Lineage: Bacteria; Bacillati; Bacillota; Clostridia; Eubacteriales; Oscillospiraceae. The record is from RNAcentral.